RNAcentral lists this transfer RNA (85 nucleotides) under Candidatus Nomurabacteria bacterium RIFCSPHIGHO2_02_FULL_42_19. Its description in RNAcentral is "tRNA-Tyr". It matches the Rfam family "tRNA". Rfam says of the family: Transfer RNA (tRNA) molecules are approximately 80 nucleotides in length. Their secondary structure includes four short double-helical elements and three loops (D, anti-codon, and T loops). Lineage: Bacteria; Candidatus Nomuraibacteriota. The record is from RNAcentral.
GCGCCGGUCGGAUAGUGGCUAUUCCAGUGCGCUGUAAACGCACCGCCUUCGGGCAUCGUUGGUUCGAGUCCAACCCGGCGCACAA